This 1798-nucleotide long non-coding RNA is filed under the name Schizosaccharomyces pombe (fission yeast). The record is from RNAcentral. Lineage: Eukaryota; Fungi; Ascomycota; Schizosaccharomycetes; Schizosaccharomycetales; Schizosaccharomycetaceae.
CGUCAAUUUAAACAUUCGUUAAUUACCUUUUUUAAUCAAGACUAAACAGCAUGCGAAGUUUUUUAAGCAUUAUAGGAGGUUUGAUCCUUGCUAGUUGUUAAACACUAUUUAAGUUAACUAGAGUAGAAGCGGAUGCUCAAAUGGCUCUUUUGGCUUUGGCAAAUUCUUUUGAGAAGGUUAAGUUGGACAAUGAUAGUCUUCAACUUCGAAUAAUUGUCAAUUGAUGUAUGCAAACGAACAGACAAUGUGUAUUCUCUUACAAUAUUCGAAAGUCCGGUGGAAGUACAGCCAUUACUCAUUAAAAUGCCGCAGAAUGGGAUCAGCAGUUCGGAAUGUGGGUUGUCUUAAAGCACUAUUGUCCUCAAAUCUUUGAGCAAAAUGGUAGACUGUCUGCGUCCCUAUUCAUUUCCUUUUCUGAAAGAGAUCAGUUGAUUGGUCCAUUCCUGUAUAAUGGGGAGUCCGUUCGUACUUUUGCAUUAUCCACUGAUUUUACCUAUCCAGGUCAUUUUCUAUCAGUUAAAGAAAAGAAAGAAAGACUUUUUUGCUUUGUCUCAAGACCUCUAACUAAGGAAGGAUCACCUAUCACCUGCUGGCCUUAAGGUUUGGUUAGAUGACAAGUGUCAAAUCCAUGACAUGCGUAACGCUGCUUAUUCAAAUAAUGCUUUGUAUUACAGCCCUCUAGUAUUAAUUUUCAAAUUUUUUCCGACCUCCGUUUAUUGGGUACACCUAAUGAAACCACAACCCUCCGAUUGUUCCCCCAUGCAUUGUGCUCUUACACUGCUCAUUGUGAGUUCAGCUUUUGGUACCGCAUUCUUUUUGGUGGACAAAGCCUUCUAAUUACAACUACCUUGGUUAAUUUACCCCAUGGAAUUAAAAGGACAUUAAGGAGUCUUUCGAUGUUUUUUUUGGAACGUCUAGUGCUUAUUUGGCCGUAUUUGGUUUUGGAGUAUGGCGACUAAUAAAGCGUAAUUUCAUAGCUAUGACUAUGACAGGCUUGUAUUGAUCCAAGGCUUACCAGAUUGUUUUGAAGAUUUUGUACAGAAAGCUUAUGAGAUCCUCUAAAGCUUUGGAUAUGAUCGAUGUAUUUGUUAUCUGUUCCAGAAGUUAUUUGAUAUGGCUGUAUGUAAUUUAUUUGUUGUAUAAGAACUUUUAUCUUGAAUCAUCUACGACUUCAAAACAUUCGGCGACACUUUUUAAGGUGUUUUAAUGUUCACCAUGCGUCCUUUUGUUGUGUCAUACUUUGGCACCAUCUCAUGGUGGUCUCCUACUGGAAUUGCCCCCCAUAUAGGUGAUUUUGUGCGUUGGUCAAUCCGUUAUGUAACAUAAAUUUUGAUUCCUUGUUGUAUAUGGCACCCUUCACAGAAUGGACUACUCUGUUACGAUGAAAGGGUGCAGAAUAUGUUGGCUGAACGAGAUGGUUGAAACUUCUGUCAACAAAAAACUUUUAUAUUAUUUAUGCCAAUAGUAUGCGGAUUAGAGUUUUUUCGUUGAUCUACAUGGUGCUUUAGAAUUUUCUACGGCAAAAUAAAAGCAUUAUGUGAAUCAUCCUUUAUAUAAUGGAAUGAACUUUGUGGAUUUGUUAAGUAGGAAUAUCCUUUAAGUUUUCAUGAACUUCCCUUCAUAGUCUAUUUGUGCAUACAGUUUUAUGAUGUCUACAACAUCUACAUAUUCUAAUUUAUCAAAAUUAUUAUUUAUUGAUGGUCUAUAACUUAUUUUUUUAACUUCACAAAAAUGUUUUGAUAUUAUUUUAUUAACAGCGAGCUUUAUAAGUCGAUAAACGAUUUUUAAAACACACUAU